GAUGAACGCUGGCGGCGUGCCUAAUACAUGCAAGUCGAGCGAACGGACGAGAAGCUUGCUUCUCUGAUGUUAGCGGCGGACGGGUGAGUAACACGUGGAUAACCUACCUAUAAGACUGGGAUAACUUCGGGAAACCGGAGCUAAUACCGGAUAAUAUUUUGAACCGCAUGGUUCAAAAGUAAAAGACGGUCUUGCUGUCACUUAUAGAUGGAUCCGCGCUGCAUUAGCUAGUUGGUAAGGUAACGGCUUACCAAGGCAACGAUGCAUAGCCGACCUGAGAGGUUGAUCGGCCACACUGGAACUGAGACACGGUCCAGACUCCUACGGGAGGCAGCAGUAGGGAAUCUUCCGCAAUGGGCGAAAGCCUGACGGAGCAACGCCGCGUGAGUGAUGAAGGUCUUCGGAUCGUAAAACUCUGUUAUUAGGGAAGAACAUAUGUGUAAGUAACUGUGCACAUCUUGACGGUACCUAAUCAGAAAGCCACGGCUAACUACGUG
RNAcentral lists this ribosomal RNA (497 nucleotides) under uncultured bacterium. RNAcentral describes it as "partial 16S ribosomal RNA". It matches the Rfam family "Bacterial small subunit ribosomal RNA", at positions 28 to 507 of the family's 1533-position model. The record is from RNAcentral.